AUGCGGCGUAGUUUGUUUGUGAAGAUUGUCAACGAUUGUGAGGCCGCCUCCUAUUACUUUAAACGUUGUAGAUCCGCCGCCGGUAUCAUGGGGUUUAGUGCAUAUCAAAAUAUAUCGGCGGCAAUGCGGGUACUCACUUAUGGCAUACCCGCGGAUUAUACCGACGAGUAUCUUCGCAUUGGGCAAGAUACAACCAUGGAGUCAGUCCGUAGGUUUGCCAAGUUGGUCAUUCGGCUGUACGGUGAGCAGUAUCUUCGGGCACCAAACGAGGAAGAUACAAAGAGAUUAAUGGAAAUGAAUGAAAAAAGGGGAUGGCCGGGGAUGCUAGGUAGUCUUGACUGCAUGCAUUGGAGGUGGAAAAAUUGCCCAAAGGCAUGUCACGGAAUGUUUUGCGGUAAAAGCCGUGAUGCUACCAUUGUUCUUGAGGCCGUAGCAUCUCAGGACACAUGGAUUUGGCAUGCAUUCUUUGGGUUGCCGGGAACACUCAAUGAUAUCAAUAUCCUCAAUAGAUCUCCUUUGUUCAAAAGAUUAAUUUCUGGGGAUGCUCCAGCUUGCAACUACAAAAUCAUGGACAAUGAGUACUCAAUGGGAUACUAUCUCACCGAUGGCAUCUAUCCCGAAUGGGUAACUCUUGUGAAGUCCAUCAAGGAGAAAAAUGGGGUGCCCUUAACAAGAAAAGAGGCUCAUUUCACCAAGGCACAAGAGGCAGCCCGUAAGGAUAUUGAGAGAGCUUUCGGUGUUUUGCAAGCAAGGUUUGCCAUAGUUCAUGGUCCAGCUCGGUUUUGGGACAAAAAAACCUUGAUGAAUAUCAUGAAAUGUUGUGUGAUUCUACACAACAUGAUCCUAGAGGAUGAAAGAGGGUUAAACCUCCCUUGUUUCUAUGACAAUGUUGGUACCCGUGUGCAACCGGAAAGAAAUCCUUCUCGCAUACGCGCUUUUCUUCAAGCACAUCGUGAGAUUGAGGAUGCAACCACUCAUGGUCGGCUCCGAGAUGAUCUAAUAGAGCACCACUUGCAGUUGGAUGGGCGGCGCAUUGGCCCAUGA
Molecule: ribosomal RNA, 1044 nt
Filed under: Triticum aestivum (bread wheat)
Lineage: Eukaryota; Viridiplantae; Streptophyta; Magnoliopsida; Poales; Poaceae
Description: partial small subunit ribosomal RNA
Source: RNAcentral